Oncorhynchus tshawytscha (Chinook salmon) is the source of this 1180-nucleotide long non-coding RNA. Lineage: Eukaryota; Metazoa; Chordata; Actinopteri; Salmoniformes; Salmonidae. The record is from Ensembl.
UUUCUCCCUUCCAGUGUGUCUUGGGGUACCAGCCGGUUCUGGCUCCUUGGCAUCAGAGUCAGACCGAGGCUCCUGCGGUGGAUGACUGGUUCCGGUGCAUGGAGGAAACAUGGGACGCCGCCCAUGUCCACCUUCAGUGUGCCGUACUCAGUGUGCCGUACUGCGCCAGAAAAGGGGCGCAGACCGUCACCGCAGUGAGGCCCCGGUGUUCGCACCAGGGGACAGGGUCUGACCCGAAACCUGCCCCUCCGCCUGCCCUGUCGGAAGAUGGGUCCGCGGUUUGUGGGGGCCAUUUAAAGUCCUGGGGAGAGUGAACAAGCUGUGCAGCGACGCUCCCCAUCCAUCCUGACAGAGCUUGAGAGGAUCUGCAGAGAAGAAUGGGAGAAACUCCCAAAUACAGGUGUGCCAAGCUUGUAGCAUGAUACCCAAAAAUACUUGAGGCUGUAAUCGCUGCCAAAGGUGCUUCAACAAAGUACUGAGUAAAGGGUCUGAAUGCUUAUGUAAUUUUUUAAAACAUUUGCUAACAUUUCUAAACUUUUUUUUGCUUUGUCGUUAUGGGGUAUUGUGUGUAGAAUGAUGAGGGGGAAAAACAAUUGAAUCCAUGUUAGAAUAAGGUUUUAAUUUAACAAAUGUGGAAAAAGUCAAGGGGUCUGAAUUUUUUCAGAAUGCAGUGUAAGAAUGUUUUUAAAUGGGGAAAAAAUAAACAUGAAUAGCUAUUUAUAUUAUUAUAUUUAAUUGUUAUUUGCUAUUUGUCUAUAUUGCAUGUGUUUUAUGCAUAAGGGCAGUGAAAAGUACCAAUAUUUAUGUAUAGUUGCAUGUUUUCAUAAGCGUAAAUUGGGUCCCAGGCUGAAAAGGUUUAAGAACCCCUGAUUUAGAGAUGACAUAACAACCAUUCAAUGAUGUUGUUCAUGCCUCCGCGAUACAGCUAUUUUUUUAUUUUUUUAUUUUUUAAAUAGAAGAAACAUUUUGUUGCUACGGCAACCAAUUAUUUCACAGAGACUAUUUCAGAGCACUCUCGUCUGUGUGCCAAAGUGCAGAAUAAAUUAUGAAUUUACAAAUGCUCAACACCUGUUGAAUAUAGCCGGUGUCAGUAAACGUUGGCAAAAAAAAGCGUAAUUAAAUUGUUGCCAGCACGGUUACAGUCACCAACGCUCUAGAUAACAUGAAAACUGCCUAACCA